UGAUAUCCUCUACCUUGCCGCAC
Molecule: non-coding RNA, 23 nt
Filed under: Mus musculus (house mouse)
Lineage: Eukaryota; Metazoa; Chordata; Mammalia; Rodentia; Muridae
Source: RNAcentral